This 417-nucleotide ribosomal RNA is filed under the name Parmelia subdivaricata. Its description in RNAcentral is "eukaryotic LSU rRNA". It matches the Rfam family "Eukaryotic large subunit ribosomal RNA", at positions 1 to 413 of the family's 3401-position model. The record is from RNAcentral. Lineage: Eukaryota; Fungi; Ascomycota; Lecanoromycetes; Lecanorales; Parmeliaceae.
AUUGACCUCGGAUCAGGUAGGGAUACCCGCUGAACUUAAGCAUAUCAAUAAGCGGAGGAAAAGAAACCAACAGGGAUUGCCUCAGUAACGGCGAGUGAAGCGGCAUCAGCUCAGAUUUGAAAUCUGGCCCCUUCGGGGUCCGAGUUGUAAUCUGUAGAGAGUGCUUCGGGUGAGACCACGGUCUAAGUCCAUUGGAACAUGGCGUCAUAGAGGGUGAGAAUCCCGUAUGUGACUGUGGCUCGAGCCCAUGUGAAGCCUCUUCGACGAGUCGAGUUGUUUGGGAAUGCAGCUCAAAAUGGGUGGUAAAUUUCAUCUAAAGCUAAAUACUGGCUGGAGACCGAUAGCGCACAAGUAGAGUGAUCGAAAGAUGAAAAGCACUUUGGAAAGAGAGUCAAACAGUACGUGAAAUUGUUGAAA